This 2528-nucleotide ribosomal RNA is filed under the name termite gut metagenome. Its description in RNAcentral is "bacterial LSU rRNA". It matches the Rfam family "Bacterial large subunit ribosomal RNA", at positions 1 to 2531 of the family's 2925-position model. The record is from RNAcentral.
AAAUAAGGGCGUAUGGUGGAUGCCUAGGCUCUCAGAGGCGAAGAAGGACGUGAUAAGCUGCGAAAAGCUGCGUAGAGGUGCAAAUAACCAUUGAUACGCAGAUUUCCGAAUGGGGUAACCCGGUAUACAGUAUGUAUACCAUGCCGUAAGGCAAGCAAACGCAGGGAACUGAAACAUCUAAUUACCUGCAGGAAAAUAAAACAACAGUGAUUCCCCCAGUAGCGGCGAGCGACCGGGGAUUAGCCCAAACCCGUAUUGUUUAGGCAUUACGGGGGUAGUAGGAGCACGAUAUUGUAAUAGACGAAGAAAUGGAACGACUUGGAACAGUUGGCCUUAGCGGGUGAUAGCCCCUUACAUGUAAAUUGUUUAUAUCAUAGUGUAAUCCUGAGUAAGUCGGGACACGAGAAAUCCAGACCGAAUCCGCCGGGACCAUCCGGUAAGGCUAAAUACUCCUGAGAGACCGAUAGUGAACCAGUACUGUGAAGGAAAGGUGAAAAGCACUUCGAACAGAAGAGUGAAAAAGUUCCUGAAACCGUACGCCUACAAGCGGUCGGAGCCCUUUAUUGGGGUGACGGCGUGCCUUUUGCAUAAUGAGCCUACGAGUUACUCAUCUCUGGCAAGGUUAAGCGCUUCAGGCGCGUAAGCCGAAGCGAAAGCGAGUUUUAAAAAGCGCAUAGUCAGAGGUAGACGCGAAACCUUAGUGAUCUACCCAUGGACAGGCUGAAGGUUUGGUAACACAAACUGGAGGGCCGAACCGUUAAACGUUGAAAAGUUUUCGGAUGAUCUGUGGGUAGGGGUGAAAGGCCAAUCAAACUGGGAAAUAGCUCGUACUCUCCGAAAUGCAUUUAGGUGCAGCCUCUUUCUUAUUGUCAUAGAGGUAGAGCUACUGAUUGGAUGCGAGGGUUUCAUCGCCUAUCAAAUCCGGCCAAACUCCGAAUGCUAUGACAUAACAGGAAGGGAGUGAGCCCACGGGUGCUAAGGUCCGUGGACGAAAGGGAAAGAACCCAGACCAUCAGCUAAGGUCCCCAAUUAUAUGCUAAGUUGUACAAACGCGGUGGAACUGCUUAGACAGCUAGGAUGUUGGCUUGGAAGCAGCCAUUCAUUUAAAGAGUGCGUAACAGCUCACUAGUCGAGCGGUUCUGCAUGGAUAAUACACGGGCAUAAGCAUAUAACCGAAGCUAUGGGAUUGUGAUGUAAUCAUCAUGAUCGGUAGGAGAGCAUUCCAUUAUGUGUAGAAGCAAUACUGUGAGGUAUCGUGGAACGAAUGGAAAAGCAAAUGUAGGCAUAAGUAACGAUAAUGCGGGUGAGAACCCCGCACGCCGAAAGGUCAAGGAUUCCCCGGCAAUGUCAAUCACCCGGGGGUAAGUCGGGUCCUAAGGUAUAGCCGACCGGCGUAACCGAUGGCAAACAGGUUAAUAUUCCUGUACUGGCAAAUACUGCGAUGCAGCGACGUAGGAGUGGCCGUGUUGCCCACUGACGGAAUAGUGGGUUGAAGUAUGUAUCCGUAGAUAUGAGUAGUAAAGCACGCUCAUAGAGGAGAAAUACGAAAGUACUACAAAGCUUCGGCUGCGUAGAUAAUACACCUAAUCAUACUACCAAGAAAACCUGCUAAGCUUCAGGUAUUUGCCAUCCGUACUGUAAACGGACACACGUGACCGGGUUGAGAAUACUAAGGCGCACGAGAGAUUCAUGGCUAAGGAACUAGGCAAAAUAGUCCUGUAACUUCGGGAUAAAGGACGCUCCCCUAUAUGUGGAGCCUCAGUAAAUAGGCCCAGGCGACUGUUUACCAAAAACACAUGGCUUUGCUAAAUCGUAAGAUGAUGUAUAAGGCCUGACACCUGCCCGGUGCUGGAAGGUUAAGAGGAGAGCUCAGGGUUCAUUCCCGAAGGUUUGAAUUGAAGCCCCAGUAAACGGCGGCCGUAACUAUAACGGUCCUAAGGUAGCGAAAUUCCUUGUCGGGUAAGUUCCGACCUGCACGAAUGGGGUAAGUUCCGACCUGCACGAAUGGUGUAACGAUCUGGAUACUGUCUCAACCGUGAGCUCAGUGAAAUUGUAGUCCCGGUGAAGAUGCCGGGUACCCGCAACGGGACGGAAAGACCCCGUGAACCUUUACUGCAGCUUAGCGCUGGAUUUGGGAACAAGAUGUGUAGGAUAGGCGGGAGACUAUGAAGCGGCGUCGCUAGGCGUUGUGGAGUCACCCUUGAAAUACCGCCCUUUUUGUUUUCGGCUCCUAACCCGUAACAGGGGACACCGCUUGGUGGGUAGUUUGACUGGGGUGGUCGCCUCCAAAAGCGUAACGGAGGCUUCCCAAGGUACCCUCAAUACGGAUGGUAAUCGUAUGAAGAGUGCAAUGGCACAAGGGUGCUUGACAGUGAGACCGACGGGUCGAUCUGGUGCGAAAGCAGGGCAUAGUGAUCCGGUGGUUCCGCGUGGAAGGGCCAUCGCUCAAAGGAUAAAAGGUACUCCGGGGAUAACAGGCUGAUCGCUCCCAAGAGCUCAUAUCGACGGAGCGGUUUGGCACCUCGAUG